ACGGCUCAGUAACACGUGGAUAACCUGCCCUUGGGUCCGGCAUAACCCCGGGAAACUGGGGAUAAUUCCGGAUAACGCACAUAUGCUGGAAUGCUUUAUGCGUAAAAUGGAUUCGUCUGCCCAAGGAUGGGUCUGCGGCCUAUCAGGUAGUAGUGUGUGUAAUGUACCUACUAGCCAACAACGGGUACGGGUUGUGAGAGCAAGAGCCCGGAGAUGGAUUCUGAGACAUGAAUCCAGGCCCUACGGGGCGCAGCAGGCGCGAAAACUUUACAAUGCGGGAAACCGUGAUAAGGGGACACCGAGUGCCAGCGUCAUACGCUGGCUGUCCGGGUGUGUAAAAUACACCUGUUAGCAAGGGCCGGGCAAGACCGGUGCCAGCCGCCGCGGUAACACCGGCGGCCCGAGUGGUGAUCGUGAUUAUUGGGUCUAAAGGGUCCGUAGCCGGUUUGGUCAGUCCUCCGGGAAAUCUGAUAGCUUAACUAUUAGGCUUUCGGGGGAUACUGCCAGACUUGGAACCGGGAGAGGUAAGAGGUACUACAGGGGUAGGAGUGAAAUCUUGUAAUCCCUGUGGGACCACCUGUGGCGAAGGCGUCUUACCAGAACGGGUUCGACGGUGAGGGACGAAAGCUGGGGGCACGAACCGGAUUAGAUACCCGGGUAGUCCCAGCCGUAAACGAUGCUCGCUAGGUGUCAGGCAUGGCGCGACCGUGUCUGGUGCCGCAGGGAAGCCGUGAAGCGAGCCACCUGGGAAGUACGGCCGCAAGGCUGAAACUUAAAGGAAUUGGCGGGGGAGCAC
RNAcentral lists this ribosomal RNA (796 nucleotides) under uncultured methanogenic archaeon. RNAcentral's name for it is "bacterial SSU rRNA". It matches the Rfam family "Archaeal small subunit ribosomal RNA", at positions 85 to 879 of the family's 1478-position model. Lineage: Archaea; Methanobacteriati; Methanobacteriota. The record is from RNAcentral.